This 119-nucleotide ribosomal RNA is filed under the name Pteropus alecto (black flying fox). Lineage: Eukaryota; Metazoa; Chordata; Mammalia; Chiroptera; Pteropodidae. The record is from RNAcentral.
CUCUACGGCCAUACUACCCUGAACAAGCCCGAUCCCGUCUAAUCUCACAAGCUAAGCAGGGUUGGGCCUGGUUAGUACUUGGAUGGGAGACCACCUAGGAAGACCAGGAGCUGUAGCCA